Molecule: long non-coding RNA, 2714 nt
Organism: Scylla paramamosain (green mud crab)
Lineage: Eukaryota; Metazoa; Arthropoda; Malacostraca; Decapoda; Portunidae
Exons: 9
Source: RefSeq, a predicted model, not a curated record
CUCCCUCUUUCACCAUUCCUACUCCCUUCUUCCCUUCUCCUAUUCCCCUUACCUUUCCUCCCUUUUCCUCCCUUUUCCUCCAGCUGACCCUUGUUUUUGUUUCCCAUUUUUUCUUCACCUGGGUAAUUUUGUCGGGGGGUUGGGGGAAACAUACUGAUACGAUCUCUCUCUCUCUCUCUCUCUCUCUCUCUCUCUCUCUCUCUCUCUCUCUCUCUCUCUCUCUCUCUCUCUCUCUCGAAAAUUGAAGGUGGGGAGAGCAGAGGGGAGGGAGAGGGAGGAGGAGAAAGGGGGAGGUGGUGAUUUGAAGGUGAUGCGACUGUGAUGGCUGUGCUGUGAUAAUGUGCUGAUGAUGAUGAUGGUGAUGGUGACGGUUCAUUCAAUUCUUGUUGGUUUGUCUGAUGUGUGUGUGUGUGUGUGUGUGUGUGUGUGUGUGUGUGUGUGUGUGUGUGUGUUCGCCUUAAUAUUACAUCUUUCCCUCACUUCUUUCCUUUCUCACUUAUUUCUCGUCUGUUUUUUUUUUUUUUUUUAUAGUUCUUCAUUUUUUUCUCUUCCUCAUUUCUUCUUUUAUAUUUUCCCUCGUACAUUUGCUGUGUGUCGCUCAAAUUUCCUUCACUCUUCGUCAUUUCUCUUCCAUAUUUCCUUGACAUAACCUGUCAUCUCUCUCUCUCUCUCUCUCUCUCUCUCUCUCUCUCUCUCUCUCUCUCUCUCUCUCACACACACUUUUUCUUAUCUUUCUUUUCACAAACACCGUAAUCUUUCCCUAUCACCUUCCAUUUACCUAAACAUCACCUGACUGACAUUCUCACCUUCCCCUCUUACUCUCCCCAUCACCUUCUCCCUCUCCCUCUCUCUCUCUCUCUCUCUCUCUCUCUCUCUCUUAAGCAUCCAGGGGCCAGAUCCACGAAACGGUUGCUACUUUUAACAAACUGCGAUCAGCGCCCAUUAUCAACCUCGGACCGCCAUAUGGUAUCCACGAACGCAUAAGAGCUUUACCAGCAAGGAAGCAUGGUUUUGUGAUGCAUAAAGUGAAAUCUUGCAUGGAACACUGAAAACAAAUGAAGAGGCUGAUUUGUCCCACACGUGCGCACUCCCCAUUCCCCCACCCACUAACAAGUGUGUACUGUGAUUACGUAUUGUUUUCGUCGUUUCUUGUGCAUAUAUUGGAUAUUUUCUUAACAUACUACCACGUUCGUGCCUUGAGGCAAGAAAGGCGCUUUCAGGAUCGCCACGACCCCUUGGCAUUGAGUGAUAAUGAGCUCAUGAUCAAAUAUCGCUUCCCGCGGCAGACCUACUAAACCUCUUGUUUGAGGAGAUGCAGGCUCAGCUGGAGAGAAGGACAAGGCAUAGCCAGGCAUUACCAACUCACACCCAGGUUCUGCUGGCCCAGAGACUGUUUGCCAGUGGGCCCUUCCAAAACGUCAUUGGAGACACUGCUGGACCUAUGCAAGCAAGUGUCAGCAGGGUCUUCAAGUGUGUGUGUGCACCGUGUUGAGUGAUAAGUCAGUGCAGGAAAUCAAGAUGCCUCCAACACACCUUGAUCAAAGGAGAACUGCACACCAGUUCUUCAGGAUUAAAAAUUUCCUAACGGUUAUUGGGGCCAUUGAUGGCAGCCACAUUACCAUGAAGGAGCAAAGUGUGGAUGAGGCCCUCUACUUGAACUGGAAAAGGUAUCACUCCCUCUGAACAUCCAACUUGUUUGUGAUGCAAGUGAAGUGAUCCUCAGCUACUGCUCCAGAUUGCCAGGUGCCUGCACUCUUGUGGAGGUGGCUUGCAGUACAGACCCAUCAAGUGUGUCAAAAUAAUUAAUACUUGCCUGCUCCUACACAACUGCUGCAUCAAGUUCCUGAUGACAUACGUACUUGUCACUAUUUUUCUGCUACCACCUCUUGAGGAUGAAACAGUGCCCCAUGCUGAUACCAACCCUGCUGUGCUGUAGAGGGGUCAGUGUGCUUCAGGCAGAAUUGUGUAGCAAGAAAUCAUACAAAACUUCUUCCAGCACUGAAGUAAGGAAGUGAGAUUGUCAAAGUGCCUGGGACAUGUUUUGUACAGCCAGCUGCACCAUCACCAGCUCGUCCAUACUGAGACUAAUCUGCUGUUGGGUUUCCUGUGCUUGAGAGAGAACUUCCAAGUCAGAGUGGCCAUCUGAAAUACAGAUUAGAAGCAAACAUGACUACACCUCAAGUUACAAAUGCAGAUGAUACAGCAUUGUCAAAUCCAGAGGCCCCUGUGGACCCAGCGACACCAGCAGAAGAGGGUUGGAUGGCUCCAACACCACUGCUGGUGGAAGGCUGUGGUCCUAGAGGCCCUGACACUUCUGGAGAAAAAAAAAAAAAAAAAAAAGCUGUCAUUACUGCAGGGUAUGGCAGUCCUGCAAAUGUUGUGUGAGACAACAUCCACAGCAUGACCAACUCCACAGCAGUGUGUGUUGUCUCAUCUGGAGGCCCCCACCUGCAUGGAUAUGAAUGUUGCAAUUAUCACCCACUUAGAAGUUCACAUGUAAAGCCAAAUCAACUUGGUGUAAAUCAUGAAUGCAUUAGAGCACAAUAAUGUUAUCUAGCACUGCAGUGGUCAUUGUCUCAGACCUGACUGCCAGAGGUACUGUACAUACUCCUAUUUAUAAUCCAUUGCUUAGUUGGUUCUUGGUUAUGUUUAUUGACUAUAUGGGUAAAUUUUGUAACAGCACCAAUAAUUAAAUACAUGUACACAAGAGCAAA